AACCCAUAUCAAUAGGUCAACGGCGUAAAACGUGUUAAAGAUAAUAAAACACUAAAGUCAAAAUUUAACCAGGCUGUAAAAAGCUACUGUUAAUAUAAGACAAACCACGAAAGUGACUUUACUACUUCUGAUUACACGAUAGCUGAGACCCAAACUGGGAUUAGAUACCCCACUAUGCUCAGCCUUAAACAUAAAUAAUUCAUUCAACAAAAUUAUCUGCCAGAGAACUACUAGCAACAGCCUAAAACUCAAAGGACUUGGCGGUGCUUUACAUCCCUCUAGAGGAGCCUGUUCUAUAAUCGAUAAACCCCGAUAAACCUUACCACUUCUAGCUAAAU
This 338-nucleotide ribosomal RNA is filed under the name Galictis vittata (Greater grison). Its description in RNAcentral is "partial 12S ribosomal RNA". Lineage: Eukaryota; Metazoa; Chordata; Mammalia; Carnivora; Mustelidae. The record is from RNAcentral.